Molecule: transfer RNA, 74 nt
Filed under: Aerosakkonema funiforme FACHB-1375
Lineage: Bacteria; Bacillati; Cyanobacteriota; Cyanophyceae; Aerosakkonematales; Aerosakkonemataceae
Rfam family: tRNA
About the family: Transfer RNA (tRNA) molecules are approximately 80 nucleotides in length. Their secondary structure includes four short double-helical elements and three loops (D, anti-codon, and T loops). Further hydrogen bonds mediate the characteristic L-shaped molecular structure. tRNAs have two regions of fundamental functional importance: the anti-codon, which is responsible for specific mRNA codon recognition, and the 3' end, to which the tRNAs corresponding amino acid is attached (by aminoacyl-tRNA synthetases). tRNAs cope with the degeneracy of the genetic code in two manners: having more than one tRNA (with a specific anti-codon) for a particular amino acid; and 'wobble' base-pairing, i.e. permitting non-standard base-pairing at the 3rd anti-codon position.
Source: Rfam by way of RNAcentral
GAGAGUGUAACUCAACUGGAUAGAGUACCAGAUUACGAAUCUGGUUGUUGCGGGUUCAAGUCCUGCCACUCUCG